AUCCCUUGAUGGUUUGAGUUAUCGAGGUUCAACUGUAAUUAACUUCAUUCUCAAAUAUUUCAAUUUUACUGUUACAAAAUUAAUCAUCUCUAGUUUAAUUAAUAUAUUAAUUCUGUUUAUCAAAAUUGGUUAAAUUUAUUUAGCAUAUUGUGUUGAAAUUCUCUUUUGUAUUUCAUUGUAUAGGGUGAUUUUUAUAGAACCAGCCCAAGAAAAUAAGCUGUAAUAUAAAAUAUAUCAUAUAAAUAUUAACAUAAUGUAUAUCUGGCCUAUCUUGGAUUGUGUACUAUUAAUUGUGAUCAGAGUAGCUGUUGAAAAUGCCUUCUGUUUCCAAGAAAGCAUGCCUCUAUUCACGUUUGCAAAUUUGCUAUGACUCGCCACAGUGUAUCUCUGAUGGUGAUCCUGAUUCAGCCGAAAUGUUGUUCUUUAAAUCUUUUAAUACAUGUGGUUUGUUUGCAUAUAACUAUCCUUCAGGAAAUCCCACAGAAAAAAACCAGGCUGUUAAGAUUGGGGGAUCUUAGAGGCCACAACCUUUUAGAAGUUGACACAGUCGGAGAAGUUCUCAGUUAGUUCCAUGGACAUAUUAGACUUAUAGCAUAUUGCUGAAUCUUGUUGAAAAUAACCAUUCCACAUCAUCCAACUGUUACACAAACUUAUCAAAAAUACGGCAGUAUAAGUUGCUGUUCGUGAUCAUGUCAAAGAAAAUUGGUCCAAUAAUUCAUAAACUAGAUAUGGGGCAUUACAUGGCAUUACAGAAUGCCCACCAUAUGGAAACCGACAUGGCAUUACAGAAUCAUCACUGAUGAUUCUGAUUGGUGAUCACUGGUGAUUCUGUAAUGUCAUAUAAGUUUUCAGAUGACCAAACCUGGAAUUUUGUGAGUUUACAUAUCCCGAUAAGUGGAACCAUGCUUCAUCACCAAAUCAAGUGAUAUCUAAAAUACUGGGAUUAUUGAAUGCAAAUUCCUGAAACCAGUUACUGUACUCAUUUCUCUUUAUCAGCAUCACAAAUUAUUAUGUCAUAAUUGUGAAUGGUUAUAUGCACUUCCUGCAGAAUUAUUACCAAAUUCAUCAGGCCAGUUCUAUAAGAAUCACCCUGUAUAAGAGACACGAUGGUCC
Molecule: long non-coding RNA, 1113 nt
Filed under: Androctonus crassicauda
Lineage: Eukaryota; Metazoa; Arthropoda; Arachnida; Scorpiones; Buthidae
Source: RNAcentral